AUAGAUUGUGCCAAGUAUAUACGCGUAUCGAGGCUAACAAAGGCUAUAUGAUAAUUAUUGGCUCGGUAAAACGACCAUCUGAGUAGCAAAGAUAGGAGAAAUUGCACUACGGUGGAAGAAUUGUUCAUACGUCCAGGAGCAGGUACGUACACCGAUACCGCGUCAGCCACGAUAUACGAAGAUUUAAAACCCAUUCAAGGGCGCCCGCGGAAGAGGUGAACUUCCACCGUCCGGGACUUUCGUCGAAACUUUUCUCGACAACUGUGAAUAAAUGUAAAAUAGUCAACGUCGGUGAGAGUCUUGUGGAAAAGUUUACGCUACAUCGUAGAAUGCGCGCCUAACGGUUAAGAGGCAACAGAUUCCGUCGCAGGUUGCCGCAAUUUGAGGAUCAGCUAAUCUAACAAUAAACAAAAUACGCGCAUGACUUUUUCUCGAAUAAAUUAUCUCGGUACACCCACUUGGAAACGAAAGCAUCUCCCUAAUUCGCGUGGAGCUCCGAUAUCGACCUACGCGAAAACGUCAGCGUGACUGAUAUAAAAAUUUCGAGUGAAAUUUAAAUGAUCAGAUCGAUCUGAGAGAAUAUUGACACGAUC
Long non-coding RNA from Athalia rosae (coleseed sawfly), 593 nucleotides. RefSeq lists it as uncharacterized. The record is from RefSeq and is a predicted model, not a curated record. The transcript is spliced from 2 exons. Lineage: Eukaryota; Metazoa; Arthropoda; Insecta; Hymenoptera; Athaliidae.